CUUUCCUCACUAGUUAGUGGUGCCUACUGCCUAGGCAUCGUCUGAUUUCUGGAAUUAGACAGCUUUUACAAAGUGAAGCUUGAAUGUUUUGCUUCAAUUUUUAUUUGUUAAUUUAUUUUUCCCUGUUUCUCUCGGUCUGAAAACUUGUCAUUACAUUUAAAUCAAAGCUGGAGACGGAGGUACAUGUGUCUUGUACAUUUUGGGAAAAGUUGAUCCACCGAGUUUUUGUUUUUCCUCUUUAAUUUAAUAAUAACAAUAAAACGGAUGAUGGAUCAGGAUCUGCCACUUUGAGUUGAAAUUAGUGAUUCGACCCGAAUGUGGAAUAAAGGAAGGGGGAUCUGUGACGCAUGAUGGAGCUGUGCAAUGUAAGUUGAGUGUGCCCAUUACAUUAAAAAAAUGCUGCAUUUGUAGUCCAGUGGUCGGUUGGUCGGUCGGCCAGUACGGCUUUGGCAAAGGAUCCGUCCUCAAUCGACAAUUUAUUCGUCCACUACGAUUUUAAUAUAAUUUUACUAUUUGUCGUACGUAUGCUAUUGUGGUCCUUCAAAUCUUCUCCUACGCCCUUCCCUUGGGUUCCCUACGGCUCUUGCAUAGACUAAUCAUUCAUGAUUGGUCAAGUUUUAUAUCAAGUGCAUGUAUUGAUGUGAUUGGAGCAAACUUUUCAACUAAGGCACUCGAAAUCUUUUUUGAGUGAGUGGACGAUUUCAGGAUCUUUCCGCCGGCCUCUGAUAUGUGCACUCCAAAUAGAAUGUAAGUUGGUUUCAUGCUUUGAUGAUUAGGAAGGUAUAAAUUCCUCAUUACUCAUUACAGGUUAAUUUUAUCCUUUAUUCCCACGCUAAUCUUGCAUCUUUUCAUACCCACCAAAAGCGUAAAGGAAAAUAUAUCAAUUAGACCUUUUUAGAUUUUUUUUUCCUCUCUAUCAAUAGACUUGAUAAUUUAAUAAUUUAAUGGUUUGUUACCUUUCUCUACAGCUUUCCCACGUAUCAAUAUAACUUAUAACGUAAGAUAGUAGUGGGAAAUGAAGAGAAAUGGGUGGAUAUAUGAAGUUGGGAUCUGUUGUGUUCCAGCUCAAGAAUGGUGUGAUUGUUCUCUGUUGAAUGGAGCUAUUUGUAUAUUCCAUGGAAGAUUCCUCAGGCCCUAUCGGUAGUGCUGUUCCUUUCCCAUCAUUUUCAAAUCCUGUACUACUUAAAAAUUUAAUUUUAUUGGUUCAUCUGUUUCCCACCUACACAGUAAUUGAUUCACUAAUCGAUAACGCCAUUAACAUCUGUGUUGAAUUUCUCUUUUAGUUGGGCUUUAUUAGGAUUCAAAUUCGAAACUUUACGAUUUUAAAGACACCUCGGUACUAAUGAGUUACAAUUUAUUAAUAAAUAACACCUUAUUAUAAAUUCAAAACAUAAAUAUAUAAAUCAUUCCAUAUAAAAAUUAUAAAAUUCACACAUUUAUGUAUUAAGUUUAUAAUAAAUCAAGUCUAUCUAAUUUUAUUUUAUUUUUUUUUCACUUUUAAACGAGCGAGUAAAUUAUGGCGUAACAGUUUAACUAAUAGUCUGCCUAACAGGAUAUGCGGUGCCUAUCCACUAAUAUAUAUGAAAUAACAAGAAAAGAAAAAGAUGAUGAGAGAGAGAGAGAGAGAGAGAGAGAGAGAGAGAGAGGAGAGCAUUAUUGGAUAAGAUAGAAGCGUAUUUGGAGACGGCAAGAUUAACCCCGCAAUAUGAUAAUGUUUAUAUCGUUGACUCUGUCUUCACAAAUUUAUACUUCAAAUUCAUUCACUUCCUAUAACUUAGUCCAGC
Molecule: long non-coding RNA, 1784 nt
Filed under: Manihot esculenta (cassava)
Lineage: Eukaryota; Viridiplantae; Streptophyta; Magnoliopsida; Malpighiales; Euphorbiaceae
Description: long non-coding RNA (MESC_LNC002616)
Source: RNAcentral